UGUCUCCACUCAAAUUCCAAAACUGAACCCAGAACCCGCAUCCAGAAAAAACCCAAUUUCCACAUAGAAAAUUCGACGCCGAAUUGAGAACCCUGUUAAGAGAAGAUGUCGACGGUGUACGUUUUAGAACCACCGACGAAGGGAAAGCUGAUAAUCAACACGACGUAUGGCCCGCUCGACAUCGAGCUUUGGCCUAAAGAAGCACCGAAAGCCGUUCGGAACUUCGUGCAGCUUUGCUUGGAAGGUUAUUUUGACAGCACAACCUUCCACCGCAUUAUCAAGGGAUUCCUCGUCCAAGGCGGUGAUCCCACCGGUUCCGGCACCGGUGGAGAAAGUAUUUACGGGAGUGUGUUUCCGGACGAGUUCCAUUCGCGUUUAAGGUUUAACCAUAGAGGUAUCGUUGCUUGUGCCAAUGCUGGUACCCCGCAUUCCAAUGGGAGUCAGUUCUUUAUAUCUUUGGAUAAAUGUGAAUGGCUUGAUCGAAAAAACACUAUUUUUGGAAAGGUUACUGGAGACUCUAUUUUCAAUCUUCUGAGGAUAGGUGAGGUCGACACUGAUCAGGAUGACCGACCUUUGGAUCCUCCUCCGAGAAUCAAAUCUGUCGAGGUAUUGUGGAACCCUUUUGAAGAUAUAGUUCCAAGAGUAACUUCGAGGCCUUCAAUCCAGCCAGCAGCUGAGGCUGAAAACAAAGACUCAAAGAAGAAAGCUGUUAAAAAGCUGAACUUGCUGUCAUUUGGGGAAGAAGCUGAAGAAGAAGAGAAAGAAUUAGCAGCAGUAAAGCUAAAGAUUAAGAGUAGUCAUGACGUAUUGGAUGAUCCCCGUCUCCUAAAGCAAGAUGUUCCAGAUAAAGAACAAGAUCCAUCUGAUGCCAAAGCUACUAAGGAUUUGCAAUUGUCUGUGAGGGGAGCACUAAGAUCAAGAAGAGAAGGAGAUAAAAAAGAUGCAGAAGCCGAGUUGUCUGAUUCUGUUGAUCAUAGUGAUGAUGAUGAUGAGGCUAGUUUUGAUGCUCGAAUGCGUCGUCAAAUACUAAACAGACAUAAGGAGCUUGUAAAUCUCCCAUCUAAGCAAAAGAUGCAAAACGGGAGCUCUAAACCAAAUGACAAUAAAAUUUCUGUGCGAAGAUUCAAUGAUGAGAGUACUGAUGAUGACCAACCAAGGGUAGAAAAGCUGUCUCUGAAGAAAAAGGGUAUGGGAUCAGAAGCCAAAGCUGAGCGCAUGGCUAAAGCUGAUGCAGAUUUACAGUUGUUCAGUGAGGCUGAACGAGGAAGAUUAUUGCAAAAACAAAAGAAGCGUAGACUUCGAGGACGUGAAGAUGAUGUUUUAGCAAAACUUGAGAAGUUCAAACAAUCUAUUUCCACAAAACCAGCAGCUUCAAGCAGUAAGCCUGAAGGUGGUGAUAAAGAGGAUUUGUCUGACUGGAAAGCAGUUCGGUUGGAGUUUGCUCCUGAUACCAAGGAUGGUAUGUCUCGCAAGGAUGAUCCAAAUGACUAUGUGGUGGUUGACCCUCUUUUGGAGAAGGGGAAAGAAAAGUUCAACCGGAUGCAAGCCAAGCAAAAGCAAAGGGAACGCGAAUGGGCUGGAAAAUCUCUUACUUGAUCUUCAUGUGCUCUGAUAAAAUGAUAAGUUGGUUCACAUGACUGCCCUGUUGAUUGCAUUGACAGUUAGGCUGCUGUGGGAAUAUGAAUUAUACUGUUACGCGGCCAAAGUCCCGAAAAUCGAAACACAGCUUGGGACUUAUUUUCUUCUAAGGAAUUAGUUAUCACACUAGAAUGGACGGUGUCAUAAGGCAAGAUUUAGUAGCAGUGUUGAGAUUAUUAAAAGAGAGAGAGAGAGAUGUGUAAUUAAAGUUAGAUAUAUGAAAUUGAUGGAAUUAAACUAAUGAUACAUUGUUUCUUAGAUUUGCGAGGUAAAAAGCUGUAGGGUGAAUCAUGGGGUCUCAAAAUUUCGUAAUCAUUUUCAUACCUUCUUUUCAAUAAUUUGUAUAACAAGUUGAAUCGUGGGAAGAAUUUGAGUCAUAUUCACUGUAUUUAUUUCAUCAUAUUUGUUACUUUUAUAUAUAUCUAUUACAUUACUAUGA
Gossypium raimondii (Peruvian cotton) is the source of this 2077-nucleotide RNA transcript. It is a transcript of the gene named peptidyl-prolyl cis-trans isomerase CYP57, with no coding region annotated. Lineage: Eukaryota; Viridiplantae; Streptophyta; Magnoliopsida; Malvales; Malvaceae. The record is from RefSeq and is a predicted model, not a curated record. The transcript has 11 exons.